UACGAAGGGGGCUAGCGUUGUUCGGAUUUACUGGGCGUAAAGCGCACGUAGGCGGAUUGUUAAGUCAGGGGUGAAAUCCUGGAGCUCAACUCCAGAACUGCCUUUGAUACUGGCAAUCUAGAGUCCGGAAGAGGUGAGUGGAACUCCUAGUGUAGAGGUGGAAUUCGUAGAUAUUCGGAAGAACACCAGUGGCGAAGGCGGCUCACUGGCCCGGUACUGACGCUGAGGUGCGAAAGCGUGGGGAGCAAACAGG
This 253-nucleotide ribosomal RNA is filed under the name uncultured bacterium. RNAcentral's name for it is "partial 16S ribosomal RNA". It matches the Rfam family "Bacterial small subunit ribosomal RNA", at positions 524 to 776 of the family's 1533-position model. The record is from RNAcentral.